CACGCUGGCGGCGUGCCUAACACAUGCAAGUCGAACGCGAAAGUCCCGCAAGGGAUCAGUAGAGUGGCAAACGGGUGAGUAACACGUGGGUGACCUACCUUCGAGUGGGGGAUAACCUUCCGAAAGGAGGGCUAAUACCGCAUGACAUCCCAUGUUUGGAUACAUGGACAUCAAAGCCGGGGAUCGCAAGACCUGGCGCUUGAAGAGGGACCUGCGCCCGAUUAGCUAGUUGGUGAGGUAACGGCUCACCAAGGCUUCGAUCGGUAUCCGGCCUGAGAGGGCGGACGGACACACUGGAACUGAGACACGGUCCAGACUCCUACGGGAGGCAGCAGUGGGGAAUUGUUCGCAAUGGGCGCAAGCCUGACGACGCAACGCCGCGUGGAGGAUGAAGACUUUCGGGUCGUAAACUCCUUUCGACCGAGAUGAAAAGCCUGCGAUCUAAUAGGUCGCAGGUCUGACAGUAUCGAGGGAAGAAGCCCCGGCUAACUCCGUACCAGCAGCCGCGGUAAUACGGGGGGGGCAAGCGUUGUUCGGAAUUACUGGGCGUAAAGGGUCUGUAGGUGGCUUGCUAAGUCAGACGUGAAAUCCCUCAGCUUAACUGGGGAACUGCGUCUGAGACUGGC
Molecule: ribosomal RNA, 626 nt
Filed under: uncultured soil bacterium
Lineage: Bacteria
Description: bacterial SSU rRNA
Rfam family: Bacterial small subunit ribosomal RNA
Source: RNAcentral